ACCAAUGUUCAUAUACAAUGUUUGGGAUGGAGGAACUCAGCAUGACUACAUGUUUUGGAGCUUUCGGGCUCACAUUCCAUGCUUAGGAUGUUGACGAAAUGGCUUCAAUCGACCCGUCUUGAAACACGGACCAAGGAGUCCAACACGCAUGUGAGUAUUUGGGUGCAAACCCAAGUGCACAAUGAAAGUGAAAGUCGAGAACCCUGUCAUAGGGUGCAUUGACGCCCAGACCUGACCUUUUGUGAGGGAUCUGCGGUAGAGCAUGUGUGUUGGGACCCGAAAGAUGGUGAACUAUGCCUGAAUAGGGUGAAGCCAGAGGAAACUCUGGUGGAAGCUCGUAGCGAUUCUGACGUGCAAAUCGAUCGUUGAAUUUGGGUAUAGGGGCGAAAGACUAAUCGAACCAUCUAGUAGCUGGUUCCCGCCGAAGUUUCCCUCAGGAUAGCAGACACUCAUUGAAUCAGAUUUAUGUGGUAAAGCGAAUGAUUAGAGGCCUUGGGGUUGAAACAACCUUAACCUAUUCUCAAACUUUAAAUAUGUAAGAUGAAACUGUUUCUUGAUUGAACUGUUUCGCGAUUGAAGAGUGUCUAGUGGGCCAUUUUUGGUAAGCAGAACUGGCGAUGCGGGAUGAACCGAACGUGAGGUUAAGGUGCCGGAAUCUACGCUCAUCAGACACCACAAAAGGUGUUGGUUCAUCUAG
Molecule: ribosomal RNA, 697 nt
Filed under: uncultured Basidiomycota
Lineage: Eukaryota; Fungi; Basidiomycota
Description: LSU rRNA
Rfam family: Eukaryotic large subunit ribosomal RNA
Source: RNAcentral